CCCUAUUGCCUCUUCCAUCGACACCCACAAAAUCGCAUCCCUCCCGUUUCCAUCCAAAAUUACUGAACCACCUCCGACUAGCACAUCCACUUUUCUGUGAAGCUACGAUUGAAGCACUGUAACCCACCGUACAUCUUCAAGCUACGAUUGUUGUCGUUCUUUCUCUCUCUCUCUCUCUCUCUCUCUCUCUCUCUCUCUCUCUUUUACUCUUUUUCUCGUUCGAUUUGGUUUAAAUCAACAAAAGAGCAAAAAUCGUGAUUUGGUUUGUGAAUUAUCACCGGAUCGAUGCAAUAGGGAUUUAGGCUUUAAGGUAGGAAACCGAGAACCGGGCAUCAGUGGAGGCGGUGGUUGUUGGAGGAAGGGAUUUAAUUAUCGCCAUCGUCAAGAUUGGGACUCAAUUUGACUGUGUGCUUCAUCGAUUCAGUCGACCCUAUUCUCUUAGCUAUCAUCGAUUUCUCCCAGGUCUCCCAGCCUGACAUAAGUUCCCACGCGUAUAUACCUCACCUGAAGGUCCAACUAUAGCGAAUAACUCCAACACCAACAAUGAAAAUCUAUUUUCUUCAUUGAUUUGUGAUAUCAAAACCUACAAUGCCGCAUAUCCUCUUCUCUCAUCGCUCCGAUAAGCACAAAACCCUAAAUCUAUUUUUCAUGCAGUUCCUUGUCACAAAUUGAACUCUGUUUUCUUGUAGCAACUAUGCUUAGAUUGAAAAAUCAUUUAUAUUUAAUAUUUAUGUUAUUGUUGUGUAUGUGAAGUUGGAUUUUGUUGAUGACCCUAGUGUUGUUCUAGAGAACAUGAAAGCGAAUCACAUUGGGAACAAGAGGUCAUUAUUUUACCAGGCUAUGCUCUUUAUUAUGAGAAAUUGAAGAAAGUUACUGAUGCUGAAGGAGUGCAAAAAAGUUGAUGCUUGAAGAACAGACCACAAAAUUGAAAGUGAUUCUAAGCAACAUUAUUCUUUUAGAAUGUAUUAGUGUCUUUGUUAGAUUUUGAUGUUUUCUUUCCCGAUUUGAAAUUUUUUUUAGUUUUAUUCUUUAACAAUAAAUGUAAUUCUUAGUAAUUAUUACCUGUAUUCUAUA
This is a long non-coding RNA of Lactuca sativa (garden lettuce), 1074 nucleotides long. RefSeq lists it as uncharacterized. Lineage: Eukaryota; Viridiplantae; Streptophyta; Magnoliopsida; Asterales; Asteraceae. The record is from RefSeq and is a predicted model, not a curated record.